This 86-nucleotide small nucleolar RNA is filed under the name Salvator merianae (Argentine black and white tegu). RNAcentral's name for it is "Small nucleolar RNA SNORD103/SNORD85 (ENSSMRG00000003327.1)". It matches the Rfam family "Small nucleolar RNA SNORD103/SNORD85". From Rfam's summary of the family: This family includes the snoRNAs SNORD103 (U103) and SNORD85 (HBII-251) . The members of this family belong to the C/D class of snoRNAs which contain the C (UGAUGA) and D (CUGA) box motifs. In the human genome, there are two identical copies of SNORD103 (SNORD103A and SNORD103B) which share the same host gene with SNORD85. Lineage: Eukaryota; Metazoa; Chordata; Lepidosauria; Squamata; Teiidae. The record is from Rfam by way of RNAcentral.
UCUGGCAAUGAUGAUACUCUUGCCCUCACUGAGAACACUGUUCAGUAAUGAAAAUCUUGUUAUGUACUCAGAUGUGCUGAGCUAGA